GUAACUCUAAUAGCAUCUUCCUUGGAUUUUACCCGAACCCCUUCAGAAUUCGAUUAAGUGCCCCCUUGGAAUGUCAUAUGUACCUUUUACUUUAGGGAGACAUGACUGAUUAUUUUAAU
RNAcentral lists this ribosomal RNA (119 nucleotides) under Tetraselmis sp. CCMP 881. The record is from RNAcentral. Lineage: Eukaryota; Viridiplantae; Chlorophyta; Chlorodendrophyceae; Chlorodendrales; Chlorodendraceae.